Molecule: ribosomal RNA, 253 nt
Filed under: uncultured bacterium
Lineage: Bacteria
Description: partial 16S ribosomal RNA
Rfam family: Bacterial small subunit ribosomal RNA
Source: RNAcentral
UACGUAGGGUGCAAGCGUUGUCCGGAAUCAUUGGGCGUAAAGCGCGUGUAGGCGGCUCGAUAAGUCCGGUGUGAAACCUUGGGGCUCAACCCCAAGCCUGCACUGGAUACUGCCGAGCUAGAGUUCGGUAGGGGAGACUGGAAUUCCUGGUGUAGCGGUGAAAUGCGCAGAUAUCAGGAGGAACACCGGUGGCGAAGGCGGGUCUCUGGGCCGAUACUGACGCUGAGGAGCGAAAGCGUGGGGAGUGAACAGG